RNAcentral lists this transfer RNA (76 nucleotides) under Gammaproteobacteria bacterium. RNAcentral's name for it is "tRNA-Lys". It matches the Rfam family "tRNA". Rfam says of the family: Transfer RNA (tRNA) molecules are approximately 80 nucleotides in length. Their secondary structure includes four short double-helical elements and three loops (D, anti-codon, and T loops). The record is from RNAcentral. RNAcentral also lists the same sequence under 1 other name. Lineage: Bacteria; Pseudomonadati; Pseudomonadota; Gammaproteobacteria.
GGGCCGUUAGCUCAGCUGGUAGAGCACCGGACUUUUAAUCCGUGUGUCGCAGGUUCGAACCCUGCACGGCCCACCA